GGUUGAAGUACAGUAGCCGGAAAACGUAAUAUGAUAACAGUAGAGCACACACAUAGAUUGUGAGAAUUGGAGCUAAUAUUGAGACCUAAACGAUAACUGGUCAAUAAUAUAUUAGACGGAAAACGUAAUAUAGAAGGCGAAAUAUAAUAAUACAAAAUUAUUAGAAAGUAGGUCAGGGACAUAAUUUGUAUGAAUACAGAUCGCCUGUCGAAAUACAUUUUAGAGGGGAUAAUCGAGAUCUACCGGAGGCGCGCAAAAUAGGUCUGAUUAUUCCAAAUAGGAGGAAGGAGGUUACACCCAUAGAAAGUGAAAAUGCAUAUUAGAAAAUAAAUGUAGUAAUUGAGUAAGUACACACAUAUUGUGAGAAUAAGCAUAACAGUAAUUUAAUAAACAUGGAUGGUAAAUCCUCAAAGGAGGACCAGGAAUUAACCGGGAACGAGAGCUAUAUGCAGUCUGAUGAUAAGAGGAAUGUGUAUAAUGGUCCGAAAUGGAGAAAGAAAUACGGGUUUAUGGGGCGUCUAGAUGUGGACAAGCUGGAGGUUAUAAUAAAACAGAUGCAUGAAACCUGUGGUAAUAACAUCCAGGGACAACAAGCAGAAGUUUUGGAUACAGCCAGGGUGUGGCUGUCAGAGGCCCAGAAUAGAGUAGAAGGUAAUAAUAAAAUGGAAAGUGAAAAGAAGGGAGAGCCAAGUAGGAUUAGAGAGAGCAAGCCAUAGCCAGGGAGAGGAAAGAAGAGCCAGAACCAAGAGAGUCUAACCUUAAAAAGCGACUAGCACCGUAUAAUAAGCCAGGGCUGUGGGAGGUUCAAUCAGAUUGGGAGGAGGAUCAGAGUCCUCUCAUAGAGUUUCCUAAUCCUAGGGCAGGCGAAGCUGAUCAAUCGGAUACCUUACAAGUGUAUCGAUCCUGGACUCAGAGAGAUGUAGCAAGAGCAGUUGAGGGAAUAGUACAUCCAAAAACAGGAAUAGAAGGGUUUAGGAGAGAUAUGGAGGGACUGACCGAGAGUUUUAAAGUAAAUACAGGAGAAUUGGAAAGGGCUGUCCGACAGAUAGUGGGGAAAGACUGGGCAGCAGUGAGGGGAGCCUGGGUUCCAGGGCAAGGAGGAGAACCGGUUUUACCAUGGGCAGGAGAUGGGGAUUAUGCAGACAAAUUGACACAGCUCUGUAAUAAUCUUAGGGACAAUUACCAUAGACAUGCAGACUUUUCAAAGAUACAGGAGUGUAACCAAGGGGAUGGGGAAACUGUUAGCCAGUAUUUAGAGAGACUGAGACGUGUUCAAUGCUAAUAGUGGACUGGUAGAUCCUAGACAGGGAGACGACGGACCUUACCACCAACAGUUAAAAAUAGCCUUCUUGAGUGGUAUGAAGCCUGAAAUUUGCCAAAUCAUAAAAGAGACUCUGAUAGGGUGGGGAACAGCCACAUUGGCCGAAGUAAAGAGGUAUGCUAUACACCAUGAGCAUAAUGGCAAGGAAAAGAAAAGUAAGAAAGAACAGACAGGAGCAGAAAAUUUGAUCGCCACUCUUGGGGAAAUUGCAGGAAAGAGCAGGAAUGAUUUUAAAAAGGGGGAAACAGGGGGAGUAGAAAGUGGAUAGAACCCAAGGAGAGAAAGUGCUACAACUGCAAUAAAACAGGCCAAAUGGCAGAGGAUUGUAAGGCCCCACCAAGGAACAGUAGACAGAGACAGUUUAGGGAUAGACAGAAGAGGGAACGUAGGCGAAUGAGAGAGCGAGAGGAGUCCGAGGAUGAGGAAGAACAGGCAUGGCUAGAUGAGGGGAAUGACAGUGAGGAUUCAGAGGACACAGACUGUGAAGUGUUGAAUUGCCAACCACCGACCUCAGGUUGAGUUCAUUUUAUUUUACAGGGACAGUGCACAUCAAUCACAGUUGUGUGUGUCUAAUGGCAGAGUAUUCCUAUCAAACACUUUGAGAGCCUGUUUGAAGACAGACUGAAGGGGUUUUAAGGUUAUAAAGCAAGCUUGGGCUAAACUAGUCAAGGAGUAGGUUAAGUAGGGAAAUUUCAUAGAUUUGAAGUUAAAUGUUGUAUCCAAGGGUAGCGCAUGUUCAAUUAAGUACACAUAACCAUUGAGGAAGUUUAAUACAAAUGAUUCAUGAUUUAAGGGGGUUACAGUGGAAUUAUUAUUAAGUUUUGUUUAUAGUCAACGUUUGGGUUUCUGAAUUGGUGUAGUAUAAUGAAAUGUUGACCAAGAGGUUUUUUUCUCUAGGAAAAUGAGUGCUUCAUUGUCUCUCUUAGGAAAGUUUCCUAGAGCCACGAUAUCUUAAAGGGGUAUACACACAUGGAAUUUUAGAAGUUUUAUUUUCUGAGUUUUAAGUAAACUUUAAUUUGUCUAAGAUAGUAGGAAACACUUCUGUGAAGGGGUGGUAUGACUCUUGACCUCUAUCAUGGUGUUCCUUUGUGGUCUGAUCAGCCUCAUGGGAGGGCCAUUUGGAUAGUGAAUUUAAGGUCAUUUGUGAUACUGAUUUUAAGGUAAUUUGUGUAAUUGAUAAUUAUGAUGGAGUUUAAAGUUCUUAGACAUAUUUGUAAUUUAACACAUGAGAAGGCAGUGUAAGAAAUUGAACACAAUAAGGCUGUGAAAUUGAUAUAAUAACUAUUAUUAUAUUUUGUUGUUGAACAAGGUUAUUGAGUUAGCAAGAAUGAGUUUAAUAAUGCUAUACUUAUUUUAAGUAUUUAGGAUAUAUUUUAAGCCUGAAGGAGGUAGAACAAAUGAGGAAAAGAUUUUGGUUGUUCAGCUUCCGGACAUCCGACAGUGGAAAGACUGUCUGCUCCAUUGGUUAUGAAACAGGGGAUGUCAGGAGAGCAGGCAUGUAUUCCAAUCCUGAACUCCAGGUUAUGUCUAGAUAACCUGUUGAAUGAUUCUGUUGAAUGUGGUUGUCACUCCCACAGAAAGCCGAGGCCAUAAAAGAGAUUACUCCCACCUUUGAAGACUUGGCAGAGGGGGGUGUAAUUAGAGAAAGUGAUGCAUAGUGCAAUUCUCCAAGGUUUUGGCAAAGAGAGCAGCCCCAGUUGGGAAUUCUUCCACAAGAGGAAUGGUGAAUUACAGGAGAAGGUGAUUCAUGCAAUAUAGCUUGGAGACUGGGUGUGGAUCCAGUCCCUGAGGAGAAAAGACUGGAAACAGCCCCGUUGGGAAGGACCCUACCAGGUUCUGUUAACUACCGCCUUUGCCAUUAGAAUAGCUGAGAGAGCCACUUGGGUCUACGUUACCCACUGCAAGAAGGUAGGAACACAUACAAGCACUGCUGAUCACACACAGAGUUAGGAGAAGAACCGAGUACCAAUAGGGUUCGGGGGUUACCUCCUUAACGAAGAUUCCCUAACCCGACCUGUCAUCACUGUGUGUGUUCCUAGAGUGUGAGUAUGGGGUGGUUCCGGGCAGAUAGGCUGCAGGCAGGAGAGGGUUGGUGAUUUUUGGGAAUAUGGGGGGGACCCUAAACUGCAUCAUAGUACUAAUAAUAUUCUUGAUACAUCCAGAUCCACCAUCAGUAGGCAUAAAUCGUACCGAAUCUCUACCAGGGUUGAGAAGCAAAAGACAAACUACUCAAAGUAAGGACAGGCAAGGAAGACUAACAUAUAAAAUAGGGGUUAGAGAAGAACAAAACGCGAGAUUCAGGAUGAGGGUACUAAAUAUGACUAACGGACGACAACACCCCCUUAUACCUGUGUCAACCAACUAGGUCUAUGUGUUCCUGGUCACAGGUGUUUAAACACACAUGGGGCAGGGAAUAUGAGACUAAUAUCUGGAAAUGGAGUGCACGGUGGGGUGUUGAACGGAAUAACUAUACAAAUGUAACUAUACAAAAUGUGACUAGGAAUGACAUGCAAAUUAAGUAUAUGGCAUGCGCUGAUGAGUAGGGCAAGGAUACCUGCAUAUCAUUUCAGUUGACAGACACUACAGGAAAAUACACCGUAGUAAAUCCGUUAUUAGGAAUUGCUAAUUCAGGUGGAAAAUCCAUUAGUCUACCUGAUGUGAAGGACUUCCUUCUCCAAGAAAGGAACCAAGGGGAGAUAGAAGGAAUACCAGAUGAAAAUCUGGUUAAGAUGGAUGAAUUAUACGGCCAGGGCUCUGGGCCAAACCAAUUGUUAUGCAUGCUCUACUGGGUGACCAACUAUGUUGACGGCUCCAAUGCCACAGACUAUGCUCUCUUGUGUGUUAGACUUAGGAUCUAAUCAGGAGGAGGUGAACUGUACAGGAAUGGGGUUGGCCAGAUUAAAGAGUGCAGCCAAUCCACUUCAGUUCACUCUAACUCCUGGAGAGUAUCAGUGUUAUAGACACAGGAAUGGCAGUAGGGAUUUGGGAGAUUUUAAUGGAGGUAAGACAGUAGUGAAUGUGACAGACUUAGAAGUGCAGGAGAAGAUUCUUAACCUUACAGCACCUAUAACUGAUGUAUGGUGGGCAUGUUCCGACCAAGGACGCAUAAGGCAGAUGUUACCAAAAGGGUGGGUAGGUACUUGCGCCCCAGUGUUAUUGGUACAAUCAGUGAGGAUUAGUCAUCAAAGGCCAGUGGUGAGUAAAAUAGUAAGAAAUAAGAGAAGUCUGGUCCUAGAUGAGGGUAGCCCCAUUCCAUUGGGAUCCCUAGAGGAGUACCAGAUGAAUACAAGGCGUUGAAUCAAAUAGGUGAAGGGUUCACAACUACUUUUUUUUGGUGGGUUACGAUAAAUAAGAAUGUGGAUUGGAUAAACUAUAUCUAUUAUAAUCAACAAAGAUUUGUAAAUCAGACUAGAGAUGCAGUGAAGGGAAUCUCUGACCAAUUAUCCGCCACCUCUCUCAUGACUUGGCAAAAUAGGUUGGCUCUCGAUAUGUUAUUGGCAGAGAAGGGCGGGGUUUGUAGAAUGGUGGGGGGUCAUUGCUGUACUUUUAUUCCAAAUAAUACAUCACCAGAGGGGACUGUAACUAGAGCCUUGGCUGGGUUGACCGCACUAAGUGAUGAACGGGCUGAGAACUUAGGGGUUAAUACAUCUGUGAUCGGAUGGUUUGAUGAAAUGUUUGGCAAAUGGAAAACCAUAGUAGCUACUAUUGUGGGGGCUGCUAUUGUUUGUAUGGGUAUGCUGGUAUUAUGUGGUUGUUGUUUUAUUCCCUGUGUCCGAGGUUUGGUGAGUAAGGCGUUGGAGAAUGCAGUGACUCAAAAGAUGGUGAGGUACGGGCCCAUCGCAGAGUCUGACCAAUUGAAUGAACGAGAUACAGAUCUAGACCUGAUGGACACCGCUGAUACAUUCAAUCCUGAGGAGCCAGAACUUAAUGAGACGAUUUUCAAUGUUUAGAGACUGUUUAUUCAAUGAAGAUCAUGAUGAUAAUCCUGAACAGAAGAGUUAGGAUUGGUAGUAGUAGUAAACAGCCAUUGAUGAGUAGAUGAUGUAUAUACAUUUAAUGGUUUGAUUUGGUAUGAUUUUAUUGUUUAAUAAAAAUUGAAGUAUCAGAGUGUAACAUUUAGUCAAAGGGUGGAUUUGUAUGUGUUAGGAAAAUGACUUAACUAUUCCACUCUGAAAUUAUAGAAUAGGGUGAUAUGUUUAAGAAUAAUGGGAAGAUAAAAUCAGGAUAUGGGGAGAUCGGUUAGGAUUGUAAAACUUUGAGGUGAUAUUCUUUAGUAGGGAUGUAAACUGAGUGAAGUUGUAGAUUAGGUAAAAGAAAAACAUUGGAGAGGUUUCAAACCAAGAGGGUCAUAAAGGGGGAGGGGAGGUGAAAGCCUUGAAGAAUGUGGCAAACUUUAUGGUUCUUUGUGGUGAGUGGAAAAGUACUGGUUGUUUGAGAAGGGAGUGGUCUAAAGAUAGGAAUAUGUGUGUGUAUUAUAAAAGGACUGAGUCCUAAUUUUUGACUUUAGAACGGGACUGAGUCCUAUUUUUUUACUUUCUCUGAAUAAACUGUACAGACCUUUUGCAGAAAGCUGAGUCCUUGCCUAAUUAUUAUUAACCCAGUGUCUUACAAACCUUGGGGAUUAGUCAAGGCUUAUUGAUUGUUAAUUAUUAUCAUUGGGAUUCGAAAAUUCCCUUAGCAGGCAGUCACCCUCCCCUAGAUGCAGCCAAACCAUCCUUGUUCCUACACUUGCUCAGUUAAGAGAG
RNAcentral lists this long non-coding RNA (6066 nucleotides) under Salmo salar (Atlantic salmon). RNAcentral describes it as "lncRNA (ENSSSAG00000109353.1)". The record is from RNAcentral. Lineage: Eukaryota; Metazoa; Chordata; Actinopteri; Salmoniformes; Salmonidae.